Molecule: non-coding RNA, 89 nt
Organism: Nonlabens dokdonensis DSW-6
Lineage: Bacteria; Pseudomonadati; Bacteroidota; Flavobacteriia; Flavobacteriales; Flavobacteriaceae
Source: Rfam
UAUUUUUGCAGACGCUUAGAGAAAGAAUCUCGAGGCACCGUCAGAUCGACUGACAUACAUAAUAUUCAUUAUAUAAUAAUUUUGGCAUG